Molecule: ribosomal RNA, 253 nt
Filed under: uncultured bacterium
Lineage: Bacteria
Description: partial 16S ribosomal RNA
Rfam family: Bacterial small subunit ribosomal RNA
Source: RNAcentral
UACGUAGGGUGCAAGCGUUACUCGGAAUUACUGGGCGUAAAGCGUGCGCAGGCGGCUAUGCAAGUCAGAUGUGAAAUCCCCGGGCUCAACCUGGGAACUGCAUUUGUGACUGCAUGGCUAGAGUACGGUAGAGGGGGAUGGAAUUCCGCGUGUAGCAGUGAAAUGCGUAGAUAUGCGGAGGAACACCGAUGGCGAAGGCAAUCCCCUGGACCUGUACUGACGCUCAUGCACGAAAGCGUGGGGAGCAAACAGG